Non-coding RNA from Nannospalax galili (Upper Galilee mountains blind mole rat), 555 nucleotides. The record is from the annotation of a RefSeq genome assembly. NCBI's taxonomy places the organism in Eukaryota, Metazoa, Chordata, Mammalia, Rodentia, Spalacidae.
CCCUGCAUUCCCUGUGUUCCCAUUCAGUGACCAGCACUGAGCAGACUCACCAUGGAGCUGGGGCUGAGCUGGCUUUUCCUUGUUGUGCUUUUACAAGGUGUCCAGUGUGAGGAGAAGCUGGUGGAGUCUGGAGGUGGCUUGGUGCUGCCUGGAGGGUCCCUAAAACUCUCGUGUGUGGCAUCUGGAUUCACCUUCAGUGGUCACGACAUGAACUGGGUCCGCCAGACUCCCGGAAAGGGGCUGGAGUGGAUCGGAAGCAUUACCAAUGCUAACAGCCAACACCACGCAGACUCUGUGACGGGCCGAUUCACCAUCUCCAGAGACAACGCCAAGAACACCCUGUACCUGCAAAUGAGCAUUCUGAAAAUUGAGGACACGGCCACCUAUUUCUGUACAAGAGACACAGUGAGUAAAUGUUGCUGUGAGUCAGACACAAACCUUCCUGAAUGGGGCUCGGAGCCAGCAGGGGGCGCGGAGUGCACGCUGAGCUCCACUUCCCAGAGCAAGCACUCAAAGGCUUCAAAGGCUGCACUGCUCUGGGUCUCUGCUGCCUGA